This 170-nucleotide non-coding RNA is filed under the name Mus musculus (house mouse). RNAcentral's name for it is "Eukaryotic small subunit ribosomal RNA". It matches the Rfam family "Eukaryotic small subunit ribosomal RNA", at positions 737 to 898 of the family's 1831-position model. The record is from Rfam by way of RNAcentral. Lineage: Eukaryota; Metazoa; Chordata; Mammalia; Rodentia; Muridae.
UGUCCCGAGGAGCCCAAAGCGUUUACUUUGAAAGAAUUAGAGUGUUCAAAACAGGCCCGAGCCGCUUAGAUACUGCAGUUAAGAAUAAUGGAAUAGGACCAUGGUUCUAUUUUGUUGGUUUUCAGAACUGAGGCCAUGAUUAAGAGAAAGGCCAAGGUGGUGGUUGCAGU